RNAcentral lists this ribosomal RNA (743 nucleotides) under uncultured marine bacterium. RNAcentral's name for it is "bacterial SSU rRNA". It matches the Rfam family "Bacterial small subunit ribosomal RNA", at positions 56 to 834 of the family's 1533-position model. The record is from RNAcentral.
UGCAAGUCGAACGGAGGCCCUAGCUUGCUAGGUGUCCUUAGUGGCGCACGGGUGAGUAACACGUGGGAACAUACCUUAUAGUACGGAAUAACUGCGGGAAACUGUAGCUAAUACCGUAUACUCCAGUAAUGGGAAAGAUUUAUCGCUAUAAGAUUGGCCCGCGCAAGAUUAGCUUGUUGGUGAGGUAAAAGCUCACCAAGGCUUCGAUCUUAGCUGGUUUGAGAGGACGAUCAGCCACACUGGGACUGAGACACGGCCCAGACUCCUACGGGAGGCAGCAGUAGGGAAUAUUGGACAAUGGGGGCAACCCUGAUCCAGCAAUGCAGCGUGAGUGACGAAGGCCUUAGGGUUGUAAAACUCUUUCAUCGGUGAGGAUAAUGACAGUAGCCGAAGAAGAAGGACCGGCUAAUUCCGUGCCAGCAGCCGCGGUAAUACGGAAGGUCCUAGCGUUGUUCGGAAUUACUGGGCGUAAAGCGCAUGUAGGCGGAACAGAAAGUUAGAAGUGAAAUCCCUGGGCUCAACCUAGGAAUUGCUUUUAAAACUUCUGUUCUGGAAUUCAGGAGAGGAAAAUGGAAUUUCCAGUGUAGAGGUGAAAUUCGUAGAUAUUGGAAGGAACACCAGUGGCGAAGGCGAUUUUCUGGACUGAUAUUGACGCUGAGAUGCGAAGGCAUGGGUAGCAAACGGGAUUAGAUACCCCGGUAGUCCAUGCAGUAAACGAUGGGUGCUAGUCGUCGGACUUUUGU